GAUGAACACUGGCGGCGUGCUCAACACAUGCAAGUCGAACGAUGAAGCCAGCUUGCUGGUGGAUUAGUGGCGAACGGGUGAGUAACACGUGAGUAACCUGCCCUUAACUCUGGGAUAAGCCUGGGAAACUGGGUCUAAUACCGGAUAUGACUUCCCAUCGCAUGGUGGGGGGUGGAAAGCUUUUGUGGUUUUGGAUGGACUCGCGGCCUAUCAGCUUGUUGGUGAGGUAAUGGCUCACCAAGGCGACGACGGGUAGCCGGCCUGAGAGGGUGACCGGCCACACUGGGACUGAGACACGGCCCAGACGCCUACGGGAGGCAGCAGUGGGGAAUAUUGCACAAUGGGCGGAAGCCUGAUGCAGCGACGCCGCGUGAGGGAUGACGGCCUUCGGGUUGUAAACCUCUUUCAGUAGGGAAGAAGCGUAAGUGACGGUACCUGCAGAAGAAGCGCCGGCUAACUACGUGCCAGCAGCCGCAGUAA
Molecule: ribosomal RNA, 480 nt
Filed under: uncultured bacterium
Lineage: Bacteria
Description: partial 16S ribosomal RNA
Rfam family: Bacterial small subunit ribosomal RNA
Source: RNAcentral